CAGAUCGGAAUAACCUCUGGAAACGGUGGGUAAUGCCGAAUGGUCCCUGGAACGACAUCGUUCCAAGGGUAAACGGUGCCUUCGGGUGCUGCUGAGGGAGCGGGUUGCGGCCUAUCAGCUUGUUGGUGGGGUAACGGCCUACCAAGGCGAUGACGGGUAGCGGGUCUGAGAGGAUGAUCCGUCACACUGGGACUGAGACACUGCCCAGACUCCUACGGGAGGCUGCAGUCGAGAAUCUUCCACAAUGGGCGAAAGCCUGAUGGAGCGACACCGCGUGCAGGAUGAAGGCCCUAGGGUUGUAAACUGCUGUCACGCUAUAGGAACCCACGGUCGUUAAUAGCUUCCGUGCUGACCAAAGCGAGAGGAAGCGCCGGCUAACUCCGUGCCAGCAGCCGCGGUAAUACGGAGGGCGCAAGCGUAGUUCGGAUUUACUGGGCAUAAAGAGCACGUAGGCGGCUCGCUCAGUCGGGUGUGAAAGCCCACGGCCCAACCGUGGAACUGCACCCGAUACUGGCGAGCUCGAGGACGGAAGGGGUGAGUGGAACUCCAGGUGGAACGGUGGAAUGUAUAGAUAUCUGGAGGAACACCGGUGGCGAAAGCGGCUCACUGGUCCGUUUCUGACGCUGAGGUGCGAAAAGCUAGGGUAGCGAACGGGAUUAGAUACCCCCGGUAGUCCUAGCCGUAAACGAUGGGCACUAGGCAAUGGGCCCUCCUAUGAGGUUCAUUGCCGGAGCUAAUGUGUUAAGUGCCCCGCCUGGGGAGUACGCUCGCAAGGGUAAAACUCAAAGGAAUUGACGGGGGAUCACACAAGCGGUGGAGCAUGUUGUUUAAUUCGAAGCAACGCGAAGAACCUUACCAGGCCUUGACAUGUACGGAUUAGCCACGUGAAAGCGUGGUGACAGCUCUUCGGAGUCGGAACGUACACAGGUGUUGCAUGGCUGUCGUCAGCUCGUGCCGUGAGGUGUUGGGUUAAGUCCCGUAACGAGCGAAACCCUUAUCGUUAGUUGCCAGCGGGUUAUGCCGGGGACUCUAGCGAGACUGCCGUUGUCAAAACGGAGGAAGGUGGGGACGACGUCAAGUCAUCAUGGCCCUUAUGGCCUGGGCUACAAACGUGCUACAAUGGUCCAUACAAUGGGUUCCGAAGCCGCGAGGUGUAGGCAAUCCCAUCAAAGUGGGCCCCAGUUCGGAUUGCAGGCUGAAAUUCG
This 1205-nucleotide ribosomal RNA is filed under the name uncultured bacterium. Its description in RNAcentral is "bacterial SSU rRNA". It matches the Rfam family "Bacterial small subunit ribosomal RNA", at positions 134 to 1314 of the family's 1533-position model. The record is from RNAcentral.